This 392-nucleotide unclassified non-coding RNA is filed under the name soil metagenome. RNAcentral describes it as "partial contains 5.8S ribosomal RNA, internal transcribed spacer 2, and large subunit ribosomal RNA". The stretch from base 1 to 122 matches the Rfam family "5.8S ribosomal RNA", at positions 35 to 154 of the family's 154-position model. The record is from RNAcentral.
GAUGAAGAACGCAGCGAAAUGCGAUACUUGGUGUGAAUUGCAGAAUCCCGUGAACCAUCGAGUCUUUGAACGCAAGUUGCGCCCGAAGCCAUUAGGCCGAGGGCACGCCUGCCUGGGCGUCACACGUCGUUGCCCCCCCCAUCUACUCCUUCGGGAUUGCGGGGGGCGGAUGAUGGCCUCCCGUGCGCCUCGCCGCGCGGUUGGCAUAAAUGCCAAGUCCUCGGCGACGCACGCCACGACAAUCGGUGGUUGCGAAACCUCGGUUGCCCGUCGUGUGCGGUCGUCGCGCAUCGAGGGCUCGAAAAAAUUGCCGAGUUCCGGCUCGGCUUUCAACGCGACCCCACGUCAGGCGGGGUUACCCGCUGAAUUUAAGCAUAUCAAUAAGCGGAGGA